GCUGUAGCUCAGUGGCAAAGAGCAUCUGCUCUGCACCCAGAAGGUCCCAGGUUCAAUCCCUGGCAUGACCU
Podarcis lilfordi (Lilford's wall lizard) is the source of this 71-nucleotide non-coding RNA. The record is from the annotation of a GenBank genome assembly. Lineage: Eukaryota; Metazoa; Chordata; Lepidosauria; Squamata; Lacertidae.